GACAGAGGGUGCAAACGUUGUUCGGAAUUACUGGGCGUAAAGCGCGUGUAGGCGGCUAUGCAAGUCGGAUGUGAAAGCCCGCGGCUCAACCGUGGAAGUGCAUCCGAAACUGCGUGGCUAGAGUCCCGGAGAGGAAGGUGGAAUACUUGGUGUAGAGGUGAAAUUCGUAGAUAUCAAGUGGAACACCGGUGGCGAAGGCGGCCUUCUGGACGGUGACUGACGCUGAGACGCGAAAGCGUGGGUAGCAAACAGGAUUAGAAACCCCCGUAGUCC
RNAcentral lists this ribosomal RNA (273 nucleotides) under uncultured bacterium. RNAcentral's name for it is "partial 16S ribosomal RNA". It matches the Rfam family "Bacterial small subunit ribosomal RNA", at positions 524 to 796 of the family's 1533-position model. The record is from RNAcentral.